UACGAAGGGGGCUAGCGUUGUUCGGAAUCACUGGGCGCAAAGCGCACGUAGGCGGAUGUGCCAGUCAGGGGUGAAAUCCCGGAGCUCAACUUCGGAACUGCCUCUGAUACAGCACGUCUUGAGUCCGGAAGAGGUGGGUGGAAUUCCUAGUGUAGAGGUGAAAUUCGUAGAUAUUAGGAAGAACACCGGUGGCGAAGGCGGCCCACUGGUCCGGUACUGACGCUGAGGUGCGAAAGCGUGGGGAGCAAACAGG
RNAcentral lists this ribosomal RNA (253 nucleotides) under uncultured bacterium. Its description in RNAcentral is "partial 16S ribosomal RNA". It matches the Rfam family "Bacterial small subunit ribosomal RNA", at positions 524 to 776 of the family's 1533-position model. The record is from RNAcentral.